This 132-nucleotide small nucleolar RNA is filed under the name Mus caroli (Ryukyu mouse). RNAcentral's name for it is "predicted gene, 24079 (MGP_CAROLIEiJ_G0036481.1)". It matches the Rfam family "Small nucleolar RNA SNORA17". Rfam says of the family: snoRNA ACA 17 belongs to the H/ACA family of snoRNAs and is predicted to guide pseudouridylation of the 28S rRNA at positions U4659 and U4598. It shares the same host gene together with ACA43. Lineage: Eukaryota; Metazoa; Chordata; Mammalia; Rodentia; Muridae. The record is from RNAcentral.
CCUGCCCCUAGAAAUAUUGGAGGUGUGGCUGUUGUCUCACAAAUACAUCAGUGGCUGGCAGAGAGGAGAGAGGAUUUGCCUACAUACAAUGAUCUGACCUAUGAACGUCUGAAUAAUUAGAAGUCUAACAUU